GAUGAAGAACGCAGCGAAAUGCGAUAAGUAAUGUGAAUUGCAGAAUUCAGUGAAUCAUCGAAUCUUUGAACGCACCUUGCGCUCCUUGGUAUUCCGAGGAGCAUGCCUGUUUGAGUGUCAUUAAUAUUAUCAACCUUUUUGGUUGGAUGUGGGUUUGCUGGACUCCUUGAGAUCGGCUCUCCUUAAAUGCAUUAGCGGACAACAUUUUGCCAACCGUUUAUUGGUGUGAUAAUUAUCUACGCUAUUGACGUGAAGCAAGGUUCAGCUUCUAACAGUCCAUUGACUUGGACAAGUCUCUUUUUAUUAAUGUGACCUCAAAUCAGGUAGGACUACCCGCUGAACUUAAGCAUAUCAAUAAGCGGAGGA
RNAcentral lists this unclassified non-coding RNA (366 nucleotides) under soil metagenome. Its description in RNAcentral is "partial contains 5.8S ribosomal RNA, internal transcribed spacer 2, and large subunit ribosomal RNA". The stretch from base 1 to 120 matches the Rfam family "5.8S ribosomal RNA", at positions 35 to 154 of the family's 154-position model. The record is from RNAcentral.